GACGUAGGGCGCGAGCGUUGUCCGGAUUUAUUGGGCGUAAAGGGCUCGUAGGCGGCUUGUCGCGUCGUCCGUGAAAACUUGGGGCUCAACCCCAAGCUUGCGGUCGAUACGGGCAGGCUAGAGUUCGGUAGGGGAGACUGGAAUUCCUGGUGUAGCGGUGAAAUGCGCAGAUAUCAGGAGGAACACCGGUGGCGAAGGCGGGUCUCUGGGCCGAUACUGACGCUGAGGAGCGAAAGCGUGGGGAGCGAACAGG
Molecule: ribosomal RNA, 253 nt
Filed under: uncultured bacterium
Lineage: Bacteria
Description: partial 16S ribosomal RNA
Rfam family: Bacterial small subunit ribosomal RNA
Source: RNAcentral